This is a long non-coding RNA of Homo sapiens (human), 3168 nucleotides long. Ensembl annotates it as ZNF213 antisense RNA 1 (head to head). Its record names the gene ZNF213-AS1. The record is from Ensembl. Lineage: Eukaryota; Metazoa; Chordata; Mammalia; Primates; Hominidae.
GCACCCGGGAGGAAAGGCGAGGCUCUGCAUCUAGAUUUACCUCGUUCUCUUUUGUCUCCGCUUUUUUUUCACAUUUCCUUGCGACCCUGGCCCUUGAGCGACAAAAAGGGGAAGCCAAGGCUGGCCCGAGGAACGGAGAGGGCACAUGGCCUAGCCACAAGUGGAGCUUCUGCUCCGCCCGAAGGGAUGCGCUGGAGCGGCCUCUUCCUUCUGCCACGGUCUUUCUUUGCCAACUAAGAUGGGGUUUCACCAGGUUAGCCAGGCUGGUCUUGAACUCCAGACCUCAAGGGAUCCGCCUGCCUCAGCUUUCCAAAGUGCUGGGAUUACAGGUGGAGACUGGACCUCAGAAGAGGGAGUGGGUGCCCCGAGAACUCACAGCUAGCGGACAGUGGAAAGGGCAGGAGCCGGACCAAGGUGAGGACAGUGGAACUGAAGGCCGCUGGUUACCUCUCCUGCCCUCCGCUGGCCACAGUGGAGAAGACAGCCCCUCCCUCCUGCUCUGACCUGACAGUGUUCAUCCAUCGCCCUGUAUUAGCGAAGAACAACAUCAAGCUGGCUAGCAAGGAACUGUAUACAGGGUCCAGCUGGGUAUCACACUGGAUCUCACCCAAAGCUUAGAUGUGAUCCAGCUCAGUAUCACAAAGCAGAACGAAAAGGAUGUGUUUGGGCUGAGAGGCCAUACAUUGGCUCCGGCAUGACGGGUGACUUCUUCCGAGUCUGGCUUCUGCAGCACACAGGGCUUCGCCAGCACCCAGCUCCUGCAGCAUGGGCAGCUCCUGUGACAGCAGGCGCCCGCAGCCUGCAAAGCGUCUCCAGUGCCGCCGCCUCAGUGAACCUCAACCAGCGGCACCUAGCAGCUUUCUCUGCCACCCUCUUCAGGUAGUUCUGUAGCAGCGCGUUUCUCAUGAGACACUUCCCUGUGAGCAGCUUUUUCUACCCUUGAGGAUGGAUUUCCAGCAAAUUCUGCCCAUGUGGUACCACAGCCACUUCUCUGCCAUUCAGUGAAACUGCCGUUGUGCCCUCUUCAAGGUCUGGAUCUAAGCCCAGGGACCAGGAAACCUCUUGCUUGAGUGCUGGAACUCAGGCCAGAAGGACAUCCCUGUAGAAGUUCUGCUGCGUGUGGUCCAGCCGUCCCCACUCCUCCCGGGAGAGGUACAAGGCCACAUCCUCGAAAGUCACUGGCAUCUGAAACAAUGUGAAACAUCCACUCUCCAGGACAUGACGUGGACACGGUGGAGGGACACCAUGGCAUGAGAUGUGUGGUGAGACCCCGGACUCCCAACCCACUGUGUCGAGUGAGGCCUGCCACUUCCAUCUGAUCGGGAAGCAGGUGAGCCACCCAAGGCCUUCUGGGGAGUUGAGAAAGAACAAAGACCAAGAGGUAUUUUCAGGGAUCACAGUUAAGACUUAGGAUGUCCAUGCAGCCCCCAGCCUCAGCUGAGACCUCGGAGGACGGUUCCCAACGGCUACCAGCGAGAGGCCCUGUGUCUCUAAUUCCUGCUGCUUCUCCUCCAGCUUUGGCCCAGGCCUGACCAUGGGCCUUGAGCCUGGACAAUUCCAGCAACACUAGCAAGAGCCCCAGGCUUCAGGCUUGGCUGCAAGUGGGGCCAGCGGGGUCCUGGCUUUCACACAGAACCAGCAGAUGCAGGAAGGGCUGAGUACCAUGCAGGGGCCGGGGAAGGGCCACUCACCUGGGACCAGGCAGUGAGGAGCGCUGCAGCCAUCUGCCGGUCUCUGGUCCUCCCCUCUCGGGAAAGCACGGGGAUCCGGGGGGAGGGGAGGGCUGUGGGAGGAGAGAGGUCCUCACGGUGAUCAGCUCAUCCUGCUGGACCUGCUGCUACUUCAGCUGCCUCAAACUCCACCCCUGGCCCGACCCAAGGACAGGGUCGGAUGGCUCUGACGCUGCCAGGGGGCUGUGGGCCAUGGGGGGAUAGCGUCCCCUGCUGGCAUAGAGACCCUCAGCCCCACCUGGACCUGGGCCAAACCUCCACCUCCCCACAGCUGCCUCCCUGGGAAAGCGCCUCUUCCCCGUCCCUCUCCUACCUCCGCCAGGCAGGAAGAGAGCUUUCUCCUUAGAGCCGUGACUUAGGGGUGCCCAGCCCCAGGCACCUUGAGCCCCAUCCUCCUGCGAUGCCCCCUCGGAGUGUGGCUCUUCGGGCUCCAUCUUAAUGUGCAGUGACUCCUGAGUGUCCCCUGAAGGUACCGCCUCCCCCAGCUUAGAAGGCAUUUCCUGAUGAGGAUGUCCACGAUCUGGAACCUAGAAAGGACAGCCCCAUCAGCACCCAGAUGAGUGGGAGAGACACCCAGGGCCACAUGGCAGUGCGCUCCGGCAGCGUCGGAAACCAACAUGCAAGACGCAGCUUGAAGGACUGUCCUUGCUGCAUUCAUCCAGCUCACCCCAGCAAGGACGGGCGGCAAGAGGAGGAAUAUUCACCAAGCCGCCUCCACAGUGCCGGUGGGCGUGGUGCCCAAGGGCAGCUACCCCUUCUCAGCUCCAGCCUCACACUGACCUCAGCAGUGUAGACUGCUGUCUAUUAGUGUAUGAAGAAACCAAGUGUAGUGGCUUGAAUAGUGUCCUCUAAGAAUCCGUGUCCUCCCUGGACCUCAGAAUGGGACCUUAUUGGGGAAAAGGGUCUUUAUACAGGAGAGGACACAGAGACACAGAGAAGGAAGCAGAGACUGGAGGGAUGCCCACACCAAGGACACCAGGAGCCCCCAAGGAGUUGGAAGAGACGGAGUUUCGCUCUUCUUCCCAUGCUGGAGUGCAAUGGCGCAAUCUCAGCUCACCCCAACCUCCGCCUCCUGGGUUCAAGCGAUUCUCCUGCCUCAGCCUCCUGAUUACCUGGGAUUACAGGCAUGUGCCACCACACCUGGCUAAUUUUGUGUUUUUAGUAGAGAUGGGGUUUCUCCAUGUCGGUCAGGCUGGUCUGGAACUCCUGACCUCAGGUGAUCCGCCCACCUCAGCCUCCUAAAAUGCUGGGAUUACAGGCGUGAGCCACCGCGCCCAGCCUAUAAAAUUGAUUCUUUAAAAAAAAUUAGAACAUUUACCGAUGCUGGACCCACCUUCCCCACCUUCAGGGUCCACUUUCUAGGUGGCCACAGUGCCUGCUUGGCCCCUGUAGCAUUUGAGUUUGCAACUCUGCUUUUGGAGUUAAACAUGUUUUAGGA